GGGAAAAUAACUGAUGUACCUUAUUAUAAGUGGCGUCCAAAAUCUGGUGCCAGAAGACUCGGUAAGGCCAGAGCCGCAAGCGUUAGUCAUCCUUAUCAGGCGUAAAGGGUUUGUAGGCUGCUUUUAAAGCUAGAAUCAAGAAGAGGUUAAACCACAUAAUGCUUAGAGUAGGGUUGAAAUCUGCAGAUACUAAGUAGAAUACUAAUGGCGAAGGCUAUUUUUCCAUUAAUGAUUGACGCUGAGAAACGAAGGUGAGGGCAGGAAAUAGGAUUAGAGACCCCGGUACUCCUCACAGUCAACGAUGAAUGGUGGUUUCUAGAUUUAAGAGGCGAUGUUAACGCGAUAACCAUUCCGCCUUGUGAGUACGGCUGCAAAGUUGAAAACAAAAAAAUUAGUCGG
RNAcentral lists this ribosomal RNA (399 nucleotides) under Tsugacorticium kenaicum. RNAcentral describes it as "SSU rRNA". It matches the Rfam family "Bacterial small subunit ribosomal RNA", at positions 442 to 916 of the family's 1533-position model. Lineage: Eukaryota; Fungi; Basidiomycota; Agaricomycetes; Hymenochaetales; Rickenellaceae. The record is from RNAcentral.